This 478-nucleotide ribosomal RNA is filed under the name uncultured bacterium. RNAcentral describes it as "partial 16S ribosomal RNA". It matches the Rfam family "Bacterial small subunit ribosomal RNA", at positions 28 to 507 of the family's 1533-position model. The record is from RNAcentral.
GAUGAACGCUAGCGGCAGGCCUAACACAUGCAAGUCGAGGGAGAAGCCCUUUCGGGGGCAGAAACCGGCGCACGGGUGCGUAACGCGUAUGCAACCUACCUUUCACAGGGGGAUAGCCCGAAGAAAUUUGGAUUAAUACCCCAUAAUAUUAUUGGAUGGCAUCAUUUGAUAAUUAAAACUGCGGUGGUGAAAGAUGGGCAUGCGUCCUAUUAGCUAGUUGGAGUGGUAACAGCACCCCAAGGCUACGAUAGGUAGGGGUCCUGAGAGGGAGAUCCCCCACACUGGUGCUGAGGCAGGGACCAGACUCCUACGGGAGGCAGCAAUGAGGAAUAGUAGGCAAUGGUCGGAAGACUGAACCAGCCGUGCCGCGUGCAGGAAGAAUGCGUUAUGGGUUGUAAACUGCUUUUAUAUGGGAAGAAUAAGGCGUACGUGUACGUUGAUGACGGUACCAUAUGAAUAAGCAUCGGCUAACUCCGUG